CAAGCAGCUACUUCCCCCUCUACAAAAUCGAUCAGAGAGGAAUGGGAGUGAGAGAUGGGAAAUGGAUGAGGAAAUUUGGCAGUGUGGUUUGGAGGAUAUUGAUAAACAAUCGAGGUGCGCCUCAGCAGCAGAUCUUCAAGAAACACAACAUAACUGGGACCCCGUGAAUCAUUGUGCUUGGAGACAUCUUGACUACUGGGCACUGGAUGCUGAGCAUUGAAGGCGAGGUUGUGUGUGAGGGCACUCAGCCCACCUUCCUGUCUGGCCUUGCUAUACUAUUUGCAGAGUACUACCUAUUCAACCUUGAGUACCACGACGAGGUUGUGUGUACAUUGGAGUUUAUUCAAAGGCACUUUGAAGGCAUUAACCCUGAGGGACAAAGAAGUCAAAAGGAAAAGUGACUUCUAAAACCACUGGGUGACUUGUACAGAAGAAACAGGUUGCAGUGGAUCCAAAUGUCUCCACUAAACUCUGCAAACUGAUGGACUACCAGUGGAAUUUCUGAAAUUCCACUCCUUGGACCCUCUGAUGGAUCAGGACAUGAAACUGGAUUUGAAACUGUUUUAUGAUGACCAUGUUGAUCAACUUAUGUUUAUAUUUCUGUAUUGUUUCAAUUGCCAUGUUGGCAAAUAUGGUUGUGCAAAUAUAAGCUGUGAAGUGAAUAAAAA
Molecule: long non-coding RNA, 668 nt
Organism: Xyrauchen texanus (razorback sucker)
Lineage: Eukaryota; Metazoa; Chordata; Actinopteri; Cypriniformes; Catostomidae
Exons: 5
Source: RefSeq, a predicted model, not a curated record